This 253-nucleotide ribosomal RNA is filed under the name uncultured bacterium. Its description in RNAcentral is "partial 16S ribosomal RNA". It matches the Rfam family "Bacterial small subunit ribosomal RNA", at positions 524 to 776 of the family's 1533-position model. The record is from RNAcentral.
UACGUAGGGGGCAAGCGUUGUCCGGAUUUAUUGGGCGUAAAGAGCGUGUAGGCGGCUUUGUAGGUCCGCUGUGAAAACUCGAGGCUCAACCUCGAGAUGUCGGCGGAAACCACUUGGCUAGAGUCCGGAAGAGGAGAGUGGAAUUCCCGGUGUAGCGGUGAAAUGCGCAGAUAUCGGGAAGAACACCCAUGGCGAAGGCAGCUCUCUGGGACGGUACUGACGCUGAGACGCGAAAGCGUGGGGAGCGAACAGG